Molecule: ribosomal RNA, 479 nt
Filed under: uncultured bacterium
Lineage: Bacteria
Description: partial 16S ribosomal RNA
Rfam family: Bacterial small subunit ribosomal RNA
Source: RNAcentral
GAUGAACGCUGGCGGCGUGCUUAACACAUGCAAGUCGAACGAAGCACUUAAGAUUGAUUCUUCGGAUGACGUCUUUUGUGACUUAGUGGCGGACGGGUGAGUAACGCGUGGGUAACCUGCCUCACACAGGGGGAUAACAGUUAGAAAUGACUGCUAAUACCGCAUAACCCGAUAGGAUCGCAUGAUCCAGACGGAAAAGAUUUAUCGGUGUGAGAUGGACCCGCGUCUGAUUAGCUAGUUGGUGAGGUAACGGCCCACCAAGGCGACGAUCAGUAGCCGGCCUGAGAGGGUGAACGGCCACAUUGGGACUGAGACACGGCCCAAAAUCCUACGGGAGGCAGCAGUGGGGAAUAUUGCACAAUGGGGGAAACCCUGAUGCAGCGACGCCGCGUGAGUGAAGAAGUAUUUCGGUAUGUAAAGCUCUAUCAGCAGGGAAGAAAAUGACGGUACCUGACUAAGAAGCCCCGGCUAACUACGUG